Molecule: small RNA, 100 nt
Filed under: Clostridium sp. CAG:7
Lineage: Bacteria; Bacillati; Bacillota; Clostridia; Eubacteriales; Clostridiaceae
Description: Clostridiales-1 RNA
Source: Rfam by way of RNAcentral
AUAAUACAGGGUCAAAAGGUCUAAAAUCCGAUGCAAGCUUGCUUGCAGGAGGAUUUUUGAAGAUUGCGUGAGUGCGAAGCACGGAGCAAUCUGGUAUUAU